Molecule: RNA transcript, 2280 nt
Organism: Schistocerca serialis cubense
Lineage: Eukaryota; Metazoa; Arthropoda; Insecta; Orthoptera; Acrididae
Gene name: luc7-like protein 3
Exons: 10
Source: RefSeq, a predicted model, not a curated record
UACUUUCGUUGUCUGUGUGGGCUCAGCUUUAUUGUUUGGUGAUAUUGUAUGAGCCUCUUUGAGAACGCGUUAAUGUCAGACUUGACCUGUGAUAGUUUUGAUCUUUGAUAGAAUUGAAUGUAUUCAGCGAUCUGUGUAGUGUAAUUUGUUAGUAAGUGAACAUUUGUGUGGAGUGAUUUGCAGAUAAAAUAAAAAAUGGCUGUGUUAGCAGCGGCAGCUCUUCUAGAUGAACUUAUGGGGAGAAAUAGAAAUAUGGCACCAAAUGACAAAACGAAGGAACUCAAUUGGGAAGAUCCAGAGUACUGCAAGCUGUAUAUGGUGAAAUUUUGUCCUCAUGACUUGUUUGUAAAUACGCGAGCUGACUUGGGGCAGUGUCCAAAGGUCCAUGAUGAUGAAGUCAAAGCACUGUAUGAAAAAUCAAACAGCUAUAAAAAACAGCAGUAUGAAGAUGAAUUCAUAAGGUUCUGCCAGAGUAUGCUUAAUGAAGUGGAGAGGAAGAUAAUCAAAGGAAAACAAAGACUUGCCUUAAUGGGUAAAACUGAUAUGGUGUCCUUGUCACCGGCUCAAACUCAACGCAAUGAAGAGCAGAUUGCAUUCCUCACUGAAAAAAUCAAUGGUCUUGUAAGUGAAGCAGAACAAAUGGGUAUUCAGGGAAAUGUUGAACAAGCACAAGGACUUAUGAAGCUAUGUGAUCAGCUAAAAGAAGAACGUGAGCAGUUAAGAGGAACCAAUGAAAAUAGUCAUUGGCAGCAAACAGCUGAACUGGCAGCUUCACAAGAGAAACAGAUGGAAGUCUGUGAUGUCUGUGGUGCAUUUUUAAUUGUUGGAGAUGCACAACAACGAAUUGAUGAUCAUCUGAUGGGGAAGCAACAUGUUGGUUACGCAAAGCUUAAAUCUGCAUUGGAUGAACUUAUGACAGCACGUCAGAAAGCUCGUGAGGAAAAAGAAAAGAAACGUGAAGAGGAAAGAAGAGAACGGAAUCGAUUGAGGGAAGAAGAAGAACGGAAAAGGAAUCGUGAAAGAGGCAGAGAAAGGGAUGAACACCGUAGAAUGAGGGAAGAGGAAGAGAGACGAUCACGUUCUCGAAGAUCCAGAAGCCCACACCAUUCCUCUCACAGAAGUAGGAGUCAUCCCAGAAAAGGAAAUGAAAAAGAGCACCACCACAAAAGCAGAGGGAAAAGCACAGAAGACAGGAGCCAUCACUCCUCUCAUCAUAGUCACUCCAUUGAUGGAUCUAACCGUGACCAUGGGAGAAGCGCAAGCAGACAUUCAGAUCAUAGAAGGGAAAAAGACAGAGGAGUAAAUGGAGAUUCAAGUAGACGUGGAUCAUCACCUCAUCGUAGCUCCAGUCAUUACAGGCACAGUUCACGGAGUGCAGGAGGAAGCGGAUCGCAUGGGAAUGUUUAGCAAGUGCCCAACAUUUGAAUCAGUGAGUGAGAUUCUCCAAACAGCAAUGCUGUCCGCUCAGCCUGCUUGUGAUUCGUUGGUUGGCUUAGAGCCUGCUGGUGUAAACAUCUUCAGGAUUUUACUCAUUUCCAGUCACAUAAAAAGGGUAUGCUGUCUACAGUGUACUCAAGAAGCAGUGUCAAUAUCCUUGCAAGCAGGAGUACAGAGCUAUAUUUGAUUGAAGAUCUUGGUCUCUCACUGUGUCGGCACAACCUGGCGAUGUUCUGUUUGGAAAUGUUUCUCUUGGAAUCUUCAAGAUGUCAUCCCAAAUGCAAGGUGAUCUUUAUUUAUAAGCAUCCUUCUUUUGUUAUUGCUACUGGCUCUGAAAAUUAAAAAUCACAUUCCCCUAGUGUCCAGUCAUUUACAUUAACUGGUUUAUAUGAAUUUGUAAGAUUAAUAAAUUGUGGUUAACUGAAUGUAUUACAUCACUACUCACUUUCAGUAAAUGACAGCAUUAUCUUUGUAAUCAUUGUAAUAGUUCAUCAUUCAUCAUGCAUUUGUGUAUGUUACUGUGAAGUGAGUAGUGUCUUGAUAUGGAGGCAGCAAAUGUAAUUUUGUUACUCCCAAGUAAAAUGUGAUAAUAUCAAAUGAGCAGAAAAUAUGCAACAAGCAGACCACCAUAUUGCUGGAACUGCUGUAAUUUGCUGCAUGACUACAGCUUCUUUUAUCAUUGUUUUGAUGCCACCUGGAUAUCCAUUUUGAUAAGGUAUGUUUGAAGCAUCUUUAAUGUUUUAGAAUGAAAUUACUUUUUAUACAAAUGAUGAUUCAUAGUGAUGAGUUACAAGAAUUGUAAAAUUAUGUUAUGGAAAGGAAAUAAAUUCUUGAACAUCAGGA